AAUACUAGGACUAGGAGGGUAAAGACUAGCACACACUUCUUAAUACAUGUGAAAUUAGAACCACACUCUCAGAAUCAUUGGGUAGUCCAGUAGGAAAACACCAAAUCCUCAGCUGUGAUACAUUAGUUAACAGUGCCUGUGCUGGCCACCAUCACAAUAUGAGUGAUAUGGGGAGAGAUUACCAUCUGUUCUUUCAGACUCUGGCUGCUGAUGGCCAACAGCAUGAUCUAGGACUAAAUGGUUAUCCUCACAUCACAGUGGCAGUGCUGUAGCGUAUUUAUAUUUUAACAUUGUAAAGCAUAAAUUAUGUUUUUUAACCUUUAAUUGUUCAUUUUUUUGUGGAGGUGGAGGAAAUCCGGGGCUGCCUGCUAAUCAGCAGAACACCAGUCAGAAACAGAAUGUGGCAGGACCUGGGGACUCAGUAUCAAUACCACUUCAGUCUGGUGAACCCAGUGAUGUGACAUAUGCUGAAAUUGAUCUGAAACCCAAGGAGAAGAAAGCAUCUAAAGGUGAGAUUAAAAGAAUAAAUUAUAAGAUGAAUUCCUUUCAAAACAUGACAUUCUGAAAACUCAACUUUAAC
This 580-nucleotide long non-coding RNA is filed under the name Astyanax mexicanus (Mexican tetra). RNAcentral describes it as "lncRNA (ENSAMXG00005002163.1)". The record is from RNAcentral. Lineage: Eukaryota; Metazoa; Chordata; Actinopteri; Characiformes; Acestrorhamphidae.